GAUGAACGCUGGCGGCGUGCCUAAUACAUGCAAGUCGAGCGAACAGAUGAGGAGCUUGCUCCUCUGACGUUAGCGGCGGACGGGUGAGUAACACGUGGAUAACCUACCUAUAAGACUGGGAUAACUUCGGGAAACCGGAGCUAAUACCGGAUAAUAUAUUGAACCGCAUGGUUCAAUAGUGAAAGACGGUUUUGCUGUCACUUAUAGAUGGAUCCGCGCCGCAUUAGCUAGUUGGUAAGGUAACGGCUUACCAAGGCAACGAUGCGUAGCCGACCUGAGAGGGUGAUCGGCCACACUGGGACUGAGACACGGUCCAGACUCCUACGGGAGGCAGCAGUAGGGAAUCUGCCGCAAUGGGCGAAAGCCUGACGGAGCAACGCCGCGUGAGUGAUGAAGGUCUUCGGAUCGUAAAACUCUGUUAUUAGGGAAGAACAAAUGUGUAAGUAACUAUGCACGUCUUGACGGUACCUAAUCAGAAAGCCACGGCUAACUACGUG
RNAcentral lists this ribosomal RNA (497 nucleotides) under uncultured bacterium. RNAcentral's name for it is "partial 16S ribosomal RNA". It matches the Rfam family "Bacterial small subunit ribosomal RNA", at positions 28 to 507 of the family's 1533-position model. The record is from RNAcentral.